RNAcentral lists this ribosomal RNA (214 nucleotides) under uncultured bacterium. RNAcentral describes it as "partial 16S ribosomal RNA". It matches the Rfam family "Bacterial small subunit ribosomal RNA", at positions 118 to 351 of the family's 1533-position model. The record is from RNAcentral.
UGGGAACCUUCCCUAUGGUUAGGAAUAGCCAGGGAAACUUGGGGUAAUACCGAAUAAGCCCUUCGGGGGAAAGAUUUAUCGCCAUUGGAUGGGCCCGCGUCGGAUUAGCUAGUUGGUGGAGUAACGGCCACCAAGGCAACGAUCCGUAGCUGGUCUGAGAGGAUGAUCAGCCACACUGGGACUGAGACACGGCCCAGACUCCUACGGGAGGCAG